GGACUACCAGGGUAUCUAAUCCUGUUUGCUCCCCCAGCUUUCGAGUCUUAGCGUCAGUAAAGGCCCAGGCAGCUGCUUUCGCCAUAGGUGUUCCUCCCGAUCUCUACGCAUUUCACCGCUACACCGGGAAUUCCACUGCCCCCUACCCUACUCUAGACGCUCAGUAUCCAACGACAGUUCCCAGUUAAGCCGGGAGAUUUAACGUCGGACUUAAGCGCCCGCCUACACUCGCUUUACGCCUAGUAAUUCCGAAUAACGCUCGCCACCUAUGUCUUACCGCGGCGGCUGGCAC
Molecule: ribosomal RNA, 292 nt
Filed under: uncultured bacterium
Lineage: Bacteria
Description: partial 16S ribosomal RNA
Source: RNAcentral